AUACGUAGGUGACAAGCGUUAUCCGGAUUUACUGGGCGUAAAGGGCGUGUAGGCGGUCUUGCAAGUCAGAAGUGAAAUUCCUGAGCUCAACUCGGGCGCUGCUUCUGAAACUGCAGGACUUGAGUGCUGGAGGGGGUAGCGGAAUUCCUAGUGGAGCGGUAAAAUGCGCAGAUAUUAGGAAGAACACCGGUGGCGAAGGCGGCCAUCUGGACAGUAACUGACGCUGAGGCGCGAAAGCGUGGGGAGCAAACAGGAUGAGAUCCCCUGGUGGUCCACGCCGUAAACGACGAAUACUAGGUGUAGGGGGUAUCGACUCCCUCUGUGCCGCAGUUAACACAAUAAGUAUUCCGCCUGGGGAGUACGGCCGCAAGGUUGAAACUCAAAGGAAUUGACGGGG
This 397-nucleotide ribosomal RNA is filed under the name uncultured bacterium. RNAcentral's name for it is "partial 16S ribosomal RNA". It matches the Rfam family "Bacterial small subunit ribosomal RNA", at positions 523 to 918 of the family's 1533-position model. The record is from RNAcentral.